GUUGAUUUUCUGGCAGUGAGCCUCUACCGAGUACGCCCCACACAAUGUUGAGGCAACCCCGGGAUUCCCCCCAUUACCAACAUUGCAUAAGAUCACCUAAGCGGCUUUCUUCUCAACACACUUUCUAUGUACAUGCACUAAGCUCAAAAAACUCUAACAACAUGCUAGUUACCAUAUUUAACUUUAGUCUACACUGAAGGAUGGCCAAGCAAGUCAAUAUCUAUUACUCUGUACCCAACUGAACUAAUCUAUGUUAUCCCCUUGUAACACAGUUUGCUCCAUACUUUACCUUUCUCGUACUUGCCAUAACCAAGCAUCAACAUGACUAACUUACCUAUCUCAGACCUGAAUUGCCUGAUAUUCCUGUUAAAAUUUUAUCUUAUAAAAAAAAUAUAUAUAUCUCGGGAACGGUGUUUCGGAUUAAAGAGGGC
Pelobates cultripes (western spadefoot toad) is the source of this 431-nucleotide non-coding RNA. Lineage: Eukaryota; Metazoa; Chordata; Amphibia; Anura; Pelobatidae. The record is from the annotation of a GenBank genome assembly.